RNAcentral lists this long non-coding RNA (1100 nucleotides) under Marmota monax (woodchuck). The record is from RNAcentral. Lineage: Eukaryota; Metazoa; Chordata; Mammalia; Rodentia; Sciuridae.
CAGAAAAAAAAUGCACUAAGAAAGUCAUCAGAGAAUGUCUGACUAUAUUGCUCAAUCAGUCAUCACCAACAACAACAGAAGAAAAAAGAGGAGGAGGAGCAAGAAAUGAAAUUUCACUUUGGGGAGCUUUUUCUUCCACUGAGUAAGUGCUUCCUUUUAUCGAGGAACUGGCCUGGCUCAUGGCAAAGGUUUACCUUCUGGGACCUUCUAAUUUUGGCUCAUUUUUACAAAUUCACCUACCAUUUCUUUCUCCCCAACAACUGCAAUUCUACUUCUCCUCCUCUGUCCUGGGAACCAAAAGUUACAGCUCCAUGUUUUUACAUUGCUCGAGAAAAUCAAUAUAAAGGAGAAGAGGGCAGAGCAAGGGCAUCCAUGUUGCUAGCCUUCACUGAAGUGUACUGAUGGAUGAGGACCACAACUCCUAGACUAACUACAGACUACAGGUUUUCAAGUUUAGAGUGAUAGGAAGUUCUAAUUUCAUAUUAAACAAUUUACCAUUGCAGAUAUUUUGGGAUUGCUUUCCCUUUAUCAUUCAGAGAGAGAUGAGAUAACAAAAGCAAUAAAGAGUUUGUCACCAUAUAAUUUGAGAAUGCUUCCACCAGUCCUGAACAGAGCCACACCUGAAAACCAUGAACCCAUCAUUUGUCUAUAUAAUUUUUUGCAUGUAUUUCAUUCUUACCAAUUCCAUUAAUCAUAGCUGUUUUGUAAAUGUAGGAUAGUUUGUAAAGACAGGAUGGACUCAGAAUUUAGAUCAUUAAUGCCCUUCGUCAACUUGGUCAUGGAAAUCCAUGAACGUCGAUAUUCCAGAAGACCAAGGCUGUUCAAAAGAACCCUCUGUUACGAGAGAAAAUAUUUCAUAAUUGAGUAUAAUAUGGCUAUUGAGAACUUUAAAUGUGGUUGGUACAACUAAAGAAUAAGAGUGGUUUUUAUUUUAAACAUUUUCAUUUAAGUAGCCACACAUGAAGGAUGGCUAUCAUGUUAAGUAGACAUAUAAAUGAGCCCAUCCUAGUCCACCCACAAACUGGUCUGGCCAACCUGAUGGCCUUACUCAUCUCAUGGUUUUCUUAGCAACCAUAGUACCAUUUGUCAGUGGUUCCUGG